RNAcentral lists this ribosomal RNA (499 nucleotides) under uncultured bacterium. RNAcentral's name for it is "partial 16S ribosomal RNA". It matches the Rfam family "Bacterial small subunit ribosomal RNA", at positions 28 to 507 of the family's 1533-position model. The record is from RNAcentral.
GACGAACGCUGGCGGCGUGCCUAAUACAUGCAAGUCGAGCGGACUUUCAAGAAGCUUGCUUUUUGAAAGUUAGCGGCGGACGGGUGAGUAACACGUGGGCAACCUGCCUGCAAGACGGGGAUAACUCCGGGAAACCGGGGCUAAUACCGGAUAAUAUCUUCCUUCGCAUGAAGGAAGGUUGAAAGGCGGCGCAAGCUGCCGCUUGCAGAUGGGCCCGCGGCGCAUUAGCUAGUUGGUGAGGUAACGGCUCACCAAGGCGACGAUGCGUAGCCGACCUGAGAGGGUGAUCGGCCACACUGGGACUGAGACACGGCCCAGACUCCUACGGGAGGCAGCAGUAGGGAAUCUUCCGCAAUGGACGAAAGUCUGACGGAGCAACGCCGCGUGAGCGAAGAAGGUCUUCGGAUCGUAAAGCUCUGUUGUCAGGGAAGAACAAGUACCGUUCCAACAGGGCGGUACCUUGACGGUACCUGACCAGAAAGCCACGGCUAACUACGUG